This 396-nucleotide ribosomal RNA is filed under the name uncultured bacterium. RNAcentral's name for it is "bacterial SSU rRNA". It matches the Rfam family "Bacterial small subunit ribosomal RNA", at positions 29 to 420 of the family's 1533-position model. The record is from RNAcentral.
AUUGAACGCUGGCGGCAUGCCUAACACAUGCAAGUCGAACGGCAGCACGGCAGUAGCAAUACUGUGGGUGGCGAGUGGCGGACGGGUGAGGAAUACGUCGGAAUCUGCCCAGUCGUGGGGGAUAACUAGCCGAGAGGUUAGCUAAUACCGCAUACGACCGAGAGGUGAAAGCGGGGGACCGCAAGGCCUCGCGCGAUUGGAUGAGCCGACGUCGGAUUAGCUAGUUGGUGGGGUAAAGGCCCACCAAGGCGACGAUCCGUAGCUGGUCUGAGAGGAUGAUCAGCCACACUGGAACUGAGACACGGUCCAGACUCCUACGGGAGGCAGCAGUGGGGAAUAUUGGACAAUGGGCGCAAGCCUGAUCCAGCAAUGCCGCGUGUGUGAAGAAGGCCUCGG